CAGCUAGGAUGUUGGCUUAGAAGCAGCCAUCAUUUAAAGAAAGCGUAAUAGCUCACUAGUCGAGUCGGCCUGCGCGGAAGAUGUAACGGGGCUGAAAUAUAGCACCGAAGCUGCGGCAUCAGGCGUAUCACUAAUACGCCUUACGAUUAACAAGCUAGAAUGGCACGAAGCGUCAUGAAAGGUUGUUCAAGCAACCCGAACGUUGAGUCGGCACAUUUUUGAAGUAAGGAUUAUUAGUGAUACGCCUGUUGGGUAGGGGAGCGUUGUGUAAGCGGAAGAAGGUUCAUCGAGAGGUGGGCUGGACGUAUCACAAGUGCGAAUGCUGACAUAAGUAACGAUAAAACGGGUGAAAAACCCGUUCGCCGGAAGACCAAGGGUUCCUGUCCAACGUUAAUCGGGGCAGGGUGAGUCGGCUCCUAAGGCGAGGCUGAAAAGCGU
This 438-nucleotide ribosomal RNA is filed under the name Haemophilus influenzae. Its description in RNAcentral is "partial 23S ribosomal RNA". It matches the Rfam family "Bacterial large subunit ribosomal RNA", at positions 1090 to 1412 of the family's 2925-position model. Lineage: Bacteria; Pseudomonadati; Pseudomonadota; Gammaproteobacteria; Pasteurellales; Pasteurellaceae. The record is from RNAcentral.